UACACAAGUGCGACAUGACAGGCACACGGUGGUCUAGAUGUUUCCCAGCGACCCAGAUAGGAAUGAUGACAAUAAUUGAAUUCUACCUCGGUGAUGAAGCAAAUGUCAUUACUUUUACUGCCGGAUUAUUUUGGUCCCUUUAAAGUCUUUUCUAAUCUUUUAUAGAGUACUCUGGCGUGGAAGCAUAUCUCCCUCUAGUGGUUACAAUGCGUGAUGUGGUGCCUCAGGGCCCAGUGAUCUUCUUGCUUAUACAGGAAGCCCGUUUUCAAGUGAGAUCUGUUUAGAAGCGAUUCAUGUCCUCGGUCAUUAACGUAAUGGAAGAAUGCCCCACUGUGAAGACCUACAAAGGCAGUCCGUUGAGGCCGCAAACACGGAGCAGAGGAUAUAUCUCUCACAGAUGUUCCCCGACAAUGAAUUCAGCAAUACGCAGGUGGCUUACGAAUGCUCCCCUAAAGCUCCUUUUCAGUUAAGCACUCCAUAUAUCCUGAUGCAAUUAUGAGCCGAUAACAAACAUCUUAAUAAUUGCACUCUGAAGAUGAAUCUUUUCUCAUGUUAGUAUACCUAAGUAUUUAAUUCACUGUAUUAUCAACUGUAUAAUACUGUAUAGUUCCUGUUUUUUAAAUGAAUUGUUUGAGAGUGCUGAUAUUCAGCACUGGGAUUUGCUAACAUUCCAGUCAAGUUGUGAAACGUUAUUUAU
This is a long non-coding RNA of Carassius gibelio (silver crucian carp), 697 nucleotides long. RefSeq lists it as uncharacterized. The record is from RefSeq and is a predicted model, not a curated record. The transcript has 4 exons. NCBI's taxonomy places the organism in Eukaryota, Metazoa, Chordata, Actinopteri, Cypriniformes, Cyprinidae.